GGAUUAGCUUGUUGGCGGGGUAACGGCCCACCAAGGCGACGAUCAGUAGGGGUUCUGAGAGGAAGGUCCCCCACAUUGGAACUGAGACACGGUCCAAACUCCUACGGGAGGCAGCAGUGAGGAAUAUUGGUCAAUGGGCGAGAGCCUGAACCAGCCAAGUAGCGUGCAGGAUGACGGCCCUAUGGGUUGUAAACUGCUUUUAUAGGGGAAUAAAGUGAGCCACGUGUGGUUUUUUGCAUGUACCCUAUGAAUAAGGACCGGCUAAUUCCGUGCCAGCAGCCGCGGUAAUACGGAAGGUCCGGGCGUUAUCCGGAUUUAUUGGGUUUAAAGGGAGCGUAGGCCGGAGAUUAAGCGUGUUGUGAAAUGUAGAUGCUCAACAUCUGCACUGCAGCGCGAACUGGUUUCCUUGAGUACGCAUAAAGUGGGCGGAAUUCGUGGUGUAGCGGUGAAAUGCUUAGAUAUCACGAAGAACUCCGAUUGCGAAGGCAGCUCACUGGGGCGCAACUGACGCUGAAGCUCGAAAGCGCGGGUAUCGAACAGGAUUAGAUACCCUGGUAAUCCGCGCGGUAAACGAUGGAUGCCCGCUGUUGGGCCAACUGGUUCAGCGGCCAAGCGAAAGCAUUAAGCAUCCCACCUGGGGAGUACGCCGGCAACGGUGAAACUCAAAGGAAUUGACGGGGGCCCGCACAAGCGGAGGAACAUGUGGUUUAAUUCGAUGAUACGCGAGGAACCUUACCCGGGCUUGAAUUGCAGAGGAAGGAUUUGGAGACAAUGACGCCCUUCGGGGCCUCUGUGAAGGUGCUGCAUGGUUGUCGUCAGCUCGUGCCGUGAGGUGUCGGCUUAAGUGCCAUAACGAGCGCAACCCCUCUCCAUAGUUGCCAUCAGGUUAAGCUGGGCACUCUGUGGACACUGCCACCGUAAGGUGUGAGGAAGGUGGGGAUGACGUCAAAUCAGCACGGCCCUUACGUCCGGGGCUACACACGUGUUACAAUGGCAGGUACAGAGAGCCGGUCGUAUGCAAAUACGAUCCAAUCCUUAAAGCCUGUCUCAGUUCGGACUGGGGUCUGCAACCCGACCCCACGAAGCUGGAUUCGCUAGUAAUCGCGCAUCAGCCAUGGCGCGGUGAAUACGUUCCCGGGCCUUGUACACACCGCCCGUCAAGCCAUGAAAGCCGGGGGCGCCUGAAGUCCGUGACCGCAAGGAUCGGCCUAGGGCGAAACUGGUAAUUGGGGCUAAGUCGGAACAAGGUA
Molecule: ribosomal RNA, 1250 nt
Filed under: metagenome
Description: bacterial SSU rRNA
Rfam family: Bacterial small subunit ribosomal RNA
Source: RNAcentral